This 509-nucleotide ribosomal RNA is filed under the name Ecnomus tenellus. Its description in RNAcentral is "bacterial SSU rRNA". It matches the Rfam family "Eukaryotic small subunit ribosomal RNA", at positions 624 to 1101 of the family's 1831-position model. The record is from RNAcentral. Lineage: Eukaryota; Metazoa; Arthropoda; Insecta; Trichoptera; Ecnomidae.
AAGCUCGUAGUUGAAAUUGUGUUCUGCGGCGUCGGUCUACCGAUUGCGGUACGACAGGCGCGUCUGCGGAGCUUCUCGCCGGUGCGUGUUCUUCGCCGGUACGUUCGCAGCGCGUUUCGGCGCGCUCGACGUCGAGGCGGGCCCUCGCGGCUGUUUACUUUGAACAAAUUAGAGUGCUCAAAGCGGGCUAUCAUUUGCCUGAAUAUUGUGCGCAUGGAAUAAUAGAAUAGGACCUCGGUUCUGUUUUGUUGGCUUUCUGAUACCAGAGGUAAUGAUUAAUAGGGACAACUGGGGGCAUUCGUAUUGCGACGUUAGAGGUGAAAUUCUUGGAUCGUCGCAAGACGGACUAAAGCGAAAGCAUUUGCCAAAGGUGUUUUCAUUAAUCAAGAACGAAAGUUAGAGGUUCGAAGGCGAUUAGAUACCGCUGUAGUUCUAACCAUAAAUGAUGCCAGCCAGCGAUCCGCCGAAGUUUUUUAUUUUGAUUCGGUGGGCAGCUCCCGGGAAACCAA